UUGAAAGGGAAACGAUUGAAGUCAGUCGUGCUGGCGCGAAAUCAACCUUCUCGUCUUGAGAUCACAUGGCGUGGCGAGCCUCAAAACCGUCACGAAGCGUGAACUCUUGGUGAAAUGGAGCACUUUCGUGUCCGCUGGUUAACAUCAAUUUCGAACGUCAUAAAAAGGCUGGAGGGAUGUGGCUCCUUCGGGAGUGUUAUAACCUUUAGCGGAAUGUGGUGUUCGGGAUUGAGGAUUGCAACGAACACCUUUAGGGCUGUUCCACCUGGCUUCUCUUUGGUAUCCUGGUGACGACAGCUUGCUGACGUCGUUAGGAUUCGCCUUUGAACAGGCUAGAGUGUGAGCAAAUUCGUUAAGGAUGUUGACGUA
This 369-nucleotide ribosomal RNA is filed under the name uncultured Glomeromycotina. RNAcentral's name for it is "LSU rRNA". The record is from RNAcentral. Lineage: Eukaryota; Fungi; Glomeromycota.